This 462-nucleotide ribosomal RNA is filed under the name uncultured bacterium. RNAcentral's name for it is "partial 16S ribosomal RNA". It matches the Rfam family "Bacterial small subunit ribosomal RNA", at positions 28 to 507 of the family's 1533-position model. The record is from RNAcentral.
GAUAAACGCUGGCGGCGUGCUUAACACAUGCAAGUCGAACGAAGUUUUUCUUUCGGGAGGAACUUAGUGGCGGACGGGUGAGUAACGCGUGGGUAACCUGCCCUGUACAGGGGGACAACAGCUGGAAACGGCUGCUAAUACCGCAUAAGCCCUUAGCACUGCAUGGUGCAUAGGGAAAAGGAGCAAUCCGGUACAGGUUGGACCCGCGUCUGAUUAGCCAGUUGGCAGGGUAACGGCCUACCAAAGCGACGAUCAGUAGCCGAUCUGAGAGGAUGUACGGCCACAUUGGGACUGAGACACGGCCCAGACUCCUACGGGAGGCAGCAGUGGGGAAUAUUGCACAAUGGAGGAAACUCUGAUGCAGCGACGCCGCGUGAGUGAAGAAGUAUUUCGGUAUGUAAAGCUCUAUCAGCAGGAAAGAAAAUGACGGUACCUGACUAAGAAGCACCGGCUAAAUACGUG